CAAUAGCGUAUAUUAAAGUUGUUGCAGUUAAAAAGCUCGUAGUUGGAUUUCGGGGUGGCCUGGCUGGUCCGCCGCAAGGUGAGUACUGGUCAGCCGCCCUUCCUCUCGAAAGCCCCGACUGCUCUUUACUGCAGUGGUCGGGUAGUUCGGGACGUUUACUUUGAGAAAAUUAGAGUGUUCAAGGCAGGCUAUCGCCUGAAUACAUUAGCAUGGAAUAAUGGAAGAGGACCUCGGUCCUAUUUUGUUGGUUUCUAGGGCCGAAGUAAUGAUUAAGAGGGACAGUUGGGGGCAUUCGUAUUUAAUUGUCAGAGGUGAAAUUCUUGGAUUUAUGAAAGACGAACUAGUGCGAAAGCAUUUGCCAAGGAUGUUUUCAUUAA
This 377-nucleotide ribosomal RNA is filed under the name uncultured eukaryote. RNAcentral's name for it is "partial 18S ribosomal RNA". It matches the Rfam family "Eukaryotic small subunit ribosomal RNA", at positions 592 to 976 of the family's 1831-position model. The record is from RNAcentral.